This 380-nucleotide ribosomal RNA is filed under the name uncultured eukaryote. RNAcentral describes it as "partial 18S ribosomal RNA". It matches the Rfam family "Eukaryotic small subunit ribosomal RNA", at positions 592 to 976 of the family's 1831-position model. The record is from RNAcentral.
CAAUAGCGUAUAUUAAAGUUGUUGCAGUUAAAAAGCUCGUAGUUGGAUUUGUGGCGUACGGUGUGUUCCGGGCACUUGUUGUCUGAGUAACCUGCUGUUGCCAUCCUUGGGUGGAACCUGUGUGGCAUUAGGUUGUCGUGCAGGGGAUGCCCAUCAUUUACUGUGAAAAAAUUAGAGUGUUCAAAGCAGGCUUAUGCCGUUGAAUAUAUUAGCAUGGAAUAAUGAGAUAGGACUUUUUUGUUAUUUUGUUGGUUUGCGCAAAGAGGUAAUGAUUAAUAGGGACAGUUGGGGGUAUUCGUAUUCCAUUGUCAGAGGUGAAAUUCUUGGAUUUUUGGAAGACGAACUACUGCGAAAGCAUUUACCAAGGAUGUUUUCAUUAA